This 274-nucleotide unclassified non-coding RNA is filed under the name plant metagenome. Its description in RNAcentral is "partial contains small subunit ribosomal RNA, internal transcribed spacer 1, and 5.8S ribosomal RNA". The record is from RNAcentral.
UUUCCGUAGGUGAACCUGCGGAAGGAUCAUUAUCGUACAAAAUGUGAGGGGCAUGCGAGGGCUGUCGCUGACCCAAAAGUCGUGCACGCCCGAGUGUGUCCUCUUGCAUAAUAGUCCAUCUCACCCUUUGUGCAUCACCGCGUGGGUCCCCCUUUGGCUUGUUCGGAGGGGGGCUUACGUUUUCACACAAACUUUGUAUGCAGUGUAGAAUGUAUUUUUUGUUUUUGCGAUCACGCAAUCAAUACAACUUUCAACAACGGAUCUCUUGGCUCUC